UUGCUCAAAAAUAAACGAAAAGGGUGGAAUGAGAAGGCCAUGCCAAGGUGGCCACUGGCAAGUGAGUGUCAGUUACUCAGGAAUGGCUUUGAAACCCACCUGGCAACAGAGCCUGCCUGGCAACAGGCUGUGAUUGGUUGGGGCAUAGACCGCCCCUUGACCAGAUUGGCUGAUCUUGGCUAUAUAAGAUAUGGUUCCAACUGUAAUAAACGAGUCUGCGGGCUGCUCGCCUCAAGCCUGCUUUCACCUGACUCCCGGGGUCUGUGUGGUGACUCCGCGCCUCUUGCCCCCACCAUGCUGCUCCUCUCAGAAACGAAUCCACUGCAACAUUGUUGAGAAAUCAGCGGCAACAUGAUACCUGCAGGCCUAGUAUCUUCAGGCUCCUCCGUGUUGUAGAUGUAUCACUACUUUGAGCUGUGAAGCUUUGAAAAGUGCUCCAUUGUGUGGAUGAGCAACCAUUCACUCACAAACUUCUGAGGAAGGCAGAGUGGACAGUGAGAGCGACAGAGAGAAAGGUCUUCCUUUGCUGUUGGUUCACCCUUCAAUGGCCGCCGUGGCCGGCGCGCUGAUCAAAGGCAGGAGCCAGGUACUUCUCCUGGUCUCCCAUGGGGUGCAGGGCCCAAGGACUUGGGCCAUCCUGCACUGCACUCCCGGGCCACAGCAGAGAGCUGGCCUGGAAGAGGGGCAACCGGGACAGAAUCUGGUGCCCCCACCGGGACUAGAACCUGGGGUGCCGGCGCCGCUAGGUGGAGGAUUAGCCUAGUGAGCCGCGGCGCCGGCCAGGAUCCUAAGCUUUGCAGCCUUCACUGAGAGGGGAGCAGCCUGAG
Molecule: non-coding RNA, 827 nt
Organism: Oryctolagus cuniculus (rabbit)
Lineage: Eukaryota; Metazoa; Chordata; Mammalia; Lagomorpha; Leporidae
Source: RefSeq, a predicted model, not a curated record